AACAGUCCUUUCCCUUGGGAAAGGGAGAGUGCUGAGCUCGAGUGAUCAAUAUGUGGUUUUGCUGUGGUUACUCGGGAAACUUCAUCCCUGAAAUCUUUUUUAAUCACAAGUUUUCUGGCAUCAUUUGACAGGAUCCAGCUUUUCACUUCUGAUCUACUGUAAGUCAUGGAAUCUGGCAAAUAGGCACAAAUCUGGAUGAGCUGGUUUAUGGAACAAUAAACACAGCAUUUGUAGCAGAUGUAUGGAGGCUGGAUUUGAUGGCUUCUGGCACAUCAGGAUCUCACUCAGGAAGCCCCUGAGCGAGGCAGCGCCGUGUGAACACGAGGAAAAACAACAUUUUCACUGCAUAAAAAUAAGCAGAAAUUCACAAUGCAUGACAUGAGAGCUGUAUUUGUGGACUUCAUGUCUGACACUAAAAUACGAGGCUCAUGUUAAAUGCUCCUGGGAAGACUUCAGAGCUGAUUGUUCAAUAAAAUGAAGCACAGGGAUGCUGCUCUGAGCCCGUUGUUCAAAUUUCCACCAAUAUUCUGUGUCAGAGAAGGAAAUAACUUAGAUAAGAUCAAUUUUCAAACAUGUUUCUUCAGGAAGGAACUAAAGAGCACUCCUGAAAACUACCUCCUGGAAUGUAAAAAUUCUGAUCUUCGGGAAAGUAAAGGAACUGCUGUGCGAGAUGAAAAAUGUCAAUAUAUUUGGAGGACAGGCUAUUUCAGACUGGUGGUGAACAACUCCAGAGUCAUGUUUUGGUGAACUUCUCCUCCAAGACCUAUUAGGCUGGCAGUACUUCUCUCCAGAUGUACCAUUUGGCACAUUAAACAGUUCUUUUCUUAGAAGGGAAACCUAUGGUUUUGCCAUGUAAUGCAGAACACCAAUGGAAUCACUACAUAAGCAAAAUGCCAGUAAUGGUACAGUGGUCCAGCCACAAACAUUGCAGAAGAGCUGGGGCAGAACAUGGCUGUGACUGUGUGCAGCUGCCCUUGGAGCUGGAGUGGAGGAGUCCCCCCUGUGCUGCCCGGAGCUCGGCCGUGCUGGUGGAGCGUCAGCCCAAAGGGAUGUGCAAGUCACCCAGUGGAAGGGGAAGCUGAGCUGCCUCCUGGUUCAGCUGGAGAUGAUGGGAGCAGGCAAACACCUCCCUGGGCUGCAGUGCCAGCAGAAAGGAGCUCAGGACCGUGGCCAACUCCCUCUGCAAGGGCUUCUGGAUCUGCCUCAGCCUGAGGAGAGACACUGCAACAGCCCUGAAGUUUCUGGUCCUGACAGGAGUUGGGAAGUGACAAGAUUUACAUAAACAAGGAAGAAUUAUCUGAAUCUUCUCAGGACUCGUGACAGUGAACUACAGCAAAGCCAGAGCAAAAAGGGUGAAGUGGAGAACUCUUCCCUGAGCAAGAUGAAAUACUGCUAUUACUGUGGAAUGGAAAUUCCAUCCUGACUCACCCUGCCUUUAACAGAUCUACAUCAAGUUCCAAGUCAUCAGGGCAGUGCCAACCAGAAGGAUUUUGCACAACUGGACACUUUCCCACCUCCACAGUGCCAGUGCUGUAUUACAGACAAGACCCUGAGCUGUCAGGACUAAAGACAUCUGGCUUCGGAGGGAGGUGGGUGUGACCAGCAGUAAAAACAAUGUUACAUAACUCUCAGGUAUUUCCAGGAUAACCCCUUUUUCUGUACAGGGCAUCCCAGGAGAAAAGUGAAGGCAGGUACCUCUGGGCAUCACUCUGGCUGCAAUCCAUCCCAGCACACAGGAGCACCCACGGGGUCUCCUUGUGCCACGUGUGGGGCUCCAAGAAAGCCAUCCCUGGAAUACAUGAUGGCAGAGGCAACAAGGCUUUGCUGCCAGCAGCUCACACACCCCCAGCAGCACUGUGCACAGGGGCUGGCAGGCUCUCCCACAGGCAGAACCGGGGCCAGCUGCACCAACAUGUCCCCGCUCGCUGCCAGAGCCGCAGCCCUGCUCCCAUCCCGCGGCUCCGGAACGAGCUCCUCAGCCCUUCCACACACAGACCCCUGGAGCUCACUGCUCCCCUCAGCCUGCCAGGAGCCUGGAGCCUCAGCUCCCAGCAACGUGAGCUGCCCAGCUCGUGUCACAGAUCUUGCUUUUCCUGAAAUCUCUGGAAUGGCAAUUAGUGUGCCUGCUCAUUUCACUCCUGACAAUGUGACCAGGAGCUUUUAGGAGAUUUGCUUAUGGACCACUUACGGAUGAAAUAGCAUCUGAAAAGGAUGCAGCAGGGAGAAGGUUCCUCAGAGCCAUUGCUGAUAUGAGACUUAUGGAAGGAAUUCAAGUUCUGCACCUUUGCAUAACAGCCCUACUCCACCUCCUGUCUAAGGGCUCAAGCCACCAAAACCCCUUCCUAUGGAAGCUGCCCAAGCUCCAGAACUUUCAGAUCCUUGUGUCCACAUCUCUACUCCUCUGACCUCCUCUUGCAUUAAGGAAGCACAAGGAAAGGAUUCAUGCUGCAACACAAAAUGCCAUGUUUUUUAUACCAGAACAUAUAAAUGCACAAAAGAAGUUUUUAAACAGCACAAGAGGUCAUGCCCAACCAGAUGUCUUGUGUGGCUUCAAAGAUAUCAUUUCACUGCAAUAUUGCUGUGGCACAUUUUGCCGGUGCAGGUAAAGGCCAGAUGAGCAGAGCUCCAUUUAUUUUCUCCCUCAUAAAACUCAAACUUGUUUCCAAAGUCACAGCUUUAAUGAGAUUGGAGAUUUUGAAGUGUCCAAGUUAGUCCUUGAAGCUAGUCCAGCCGCAGAGGUGGUGCGACACAGACAUGACAGCACUAGGAUGCAUUAGGAUCUUAAAGAAAGAGGGGUACACGAGAGGUGAGUAUCGCUCAGGGUUACACAAGUAUCAUUCUGACAUUUCUUUCCCCCAUUACUCCACAGGACCUUUAGCAGCACAGCCCAGCACUUUCCUGUCUGGCCAAAGGUGCCAGCACACCGACGGACGUUUUUUGAGAAUUCCCUGCUCCCCAGUAGUUAAAUUUUUGUCCUUUGCAAUUUCCAGAUUUCUGACAGAACUGCUAGUGACAGUUGUAAUAAUAUUCUGCAAAAUGUUGUGGUGGUGAUUCUUUGAAUGCCUUUGUGGUUUGCUGUCCAGAGUUAUAAUAACCUAUGUUUGCCCAGAUAUGUGUUCUCAGCUUGGAAGCACUGGAGCCAGCAUUUACUCUCCUGCCUGGGCGACUGCACGUGUGUGCCUGCAUGUGCUGCUGAACAUGUGAGCUAGCUCCAGGUGUUUGCCAAGUGCUUCCUGGUCCCUGGGAGGUACAAUUUGGGAUUCACAUCUCAGGGAAAGCGUGAGACUUAUAGUUUAUUCCAAAUAGUAGAAUCCACCAACGGGAAUCAUAGGUGGUUUCUGAGCCUCCUCUCAGUUUCAUGUGUUUAUCUAUCAAUUCUUUCCUUCCUUAAUCAUUUUAUCUUGGAAAAAAUACUGGAGGGAAUAGAGGAGAGGGAGAAAAAGUUUGUAUGACAAGAGACUGAAACUGGCACAGCUACACCGAGAUUAGUUUGAUAAGAGAGCUCACGUCAGAUGCCAGCCUUGCUCUGUUCAUCUCCAGGAGCUUAUCUGAGGUCCUGAGAAAGAUGAGAUACAGUAGCCAGUUUAUGUUAACCUUUGCUUGGUCUCAGGUCUACACGUACAGGUCCUUAGUGAAAACUGCUGAGUGAAACACUGAGAAAUCAGGCUUGGAUACACUGAAAUCAUAGAUCUGGGUAUGAGGCACCAAUCCCCACCAAAACUGUGCAACUUUGGAAAGACAACUCUAAGCAAAGCUCAAAAGAAGAUCCUCAAACCACUCAUAAAGUAUGUUCUCUGAAGUCUUUCUGUACCUUAUUAAACCUUUAUAUGUCUUUGUGUCCAUGAAGAAAACAAGAGGAGAGAUCUGAGAUAUGCGUGGUACUGGGCUUACUUUUAUAUAAAGAAAGAUAUAUCCCAGAAAUACUUUACAGAUAAUAAACUAGACCCUGGUAGUGCAUGGAUGCUAUAAAAGCCAGGGUUUCUAUUCUGUGCCAAGCAAAGGCUCCUAUAUAUAUUUUUAAAACUGGAUCUCAGUCAGCUGAAAUAUUGAAAAGAGUUAGUUCUAAAGAUGGCAAGAAAAGAGCUGAAUUUAAUUUGGGAAGAAAAUCCCGCAUGGUUUGGCUGCACACAAACAAUGCUACACCCCCUGAAAGCUUGGCUUUUGAAAUGAAUUCAUGCUCUAGAGGAAGGAAAAGCUGAGCAUACCCUCAGCAGUGACUGUCUGAGCUCAGCCUCGCACACAGUGUUACACAGCACUGGCUGUCACCAAGGAAUUGCAAUAUUAUGGAUUGCCACUGCACACUCUGGUUGUGGACUCUCAGGCCAAACAGCACUUUUACCCCAUAGUCACAAAUUAAAUCCUGUAAAGGCAGCCUAUAAUCCAUGUCCCUUCAGACCAUUAAUAUUACACUGUUUCUGAAUCUCUAAACUUUGCACCCACAUAAGGCUUUCUGUAUUGGGGAUGGUGGCAUGUUGGGAUCCUAAAUAGCAAAAUUUCCCUUAGGACAAUUCAAGAGCCUCAUCAGAGACCUCAAAAUCCUGCAACUGUAGAGCUAAGCACAAUUUAUGUGGAGCAGCCAUGCAGAAAAUCUUCUUCCAAAGCCAGAUUCUCAGUAGUGAUGUAAACUGCGCUUUGUCUCUUACCUCCUUCACAUUCCCUCUCCUGCACCCCCUCAGAGAGGGGAUCACCCUCUGCUGAAGCCAGCCAGCUGUGAGCUGUGCUCUGUGCUUUGUGGUGCCUCUCCCCAGCCAGGGAUGGGCAGUCACCCCCUGCCUGGGCACACACCGGGCCCACAGCGUGGUGCUGUGUCUGGGCACAGCACAGUUCCCGGGGCAGCUCUGCUUCCUGACACUGCACUCGCCUCCUGGCUCCAGGGGAUGCUGCUCUCCCGGCUCUGACCUCAUGCUGAGCGCCGAAGAAGCUGCUCUCAGGUCAUUAAGCUGACCAAGUGAUGGGGCCAUGGCUUGGACCAACAGGACAGGUUGAACUGCGAUGCAGGUCAAUGCUGAACCUCCCGAGAGCUGCCUCCGUCUGUGGAACCAUCCUAAAGCCUGUUUCAUCCUCCAGCUCCCUCUUUUCCAGGCUUCCAUGACUUUUCACCUUCUCCUUGCAGUUGUCAGGAUCCUUCCCCUCCUCACCUUCCCAAUGGGCUUUUCCACUCCCCUCUUCUCUGCAUUCCCUUCUCCCUGGGGAACACACGGGCCCUUCCCUGGUAGUCACUGCCUUGCCACCCAUCCUCCUCAUCACCUCUCUCCUGAAAGCUCCUGGGACCUGAGGCUUGGUCUUCACACACAGCCAAAGGCUGAAAGGAAAACCCUGACUGACUUACAUAAACUCACGUGUCUCAGAUUGAGAUUUCUCUGACACUGUUCAUUUCCAGCUCACUUUUUGUGGGUUUUUGGAAGCGAAAAAGUAAAAUUGAGAGCUGUCACCCAAAUUUAGAGCUUGGUUUGGGAAAGUUAAGCAUGAGUUGGAAUUCCUUUGUACCCAGGGAACACACAAGGAUGUUGGGCAUUUUGUAUGUCCUGUGUUUUCUACAUGUGGGUUGUGAUCUGCUUAAAUAUAUGCAUGUAACUACAAACCUGUAUGCUUCCAGUUCUCCAUGUGUUCUCUUGAAUUUAAGCCUCAGCUGCUAUUGAAAGGGAAGUUUCUACUCUGGAAAAAGAAACUAUACAUAAAGGGAUCCAAAUAAGCAGAAAAACUCAAGAGAGCUUUGUAGACACACACUUAUUUAAAAAAAAAAAAAAGAAUCACUAUUUCUGUGCACAUCUAUAUGACUACAUAUAAUCUUUUAAACACAAUUUCUUCCCUACUUUCUCUAUUUUCUUCUAUUUCUUUUGACAGAUACUAUUCACAGCAGAAGGAUACAUUGAAUAAAAUAUUUUUUUCUUAUUUUAAACAAAAUAAAAGGUAAUCUGAAAUAUAUAUUUCACAGUCCAAGGCCAGUAAACUACUGUGAGAUAUCUACUGGUAAGAUGCCUCUGACAUGUCAGUGUGAGAGAAAGCAGAUCCUACCCCAGACUCACAAUGCCGUCAGUCAAUACCAUCAUUUUUUCCUCCAUCUGUUGCUCUGAAUAUCCAUAGCUGACAUGGAUUAGCUGAGCAUUUUCUGUCAUUAUAACAGUCACUCCUUCAGUGUCCCAGCAUGUGUCAUUCCAUGUGCAAUGGGGAAGGAGGAGGCAGGUGACUCCCUGUUCUGAGGAACUAAUGCAAUCCAAGUAGAGCCUUUGUGCUAAAUGCAAAUCACUCCCAGGAAAGACAAAUCCAGUCACCUCUGAGGAAUUGCUUCAGCUCAGGAGAGAGCUGGUGGCAAUAUUGCAUGGCUGCCCAUCACCUGGGAAGGGCCAGAAAGGUGUUCCUUCAGCAGGCUGACAGUGUGCUGCUCACCCUCGGUAUCCUCCCCUUCCCUGCCCUGCUGGGCUGUGGGAUUUUAGGAAAAGGAUUUAGUCUCUGCCUCCUGCAGUUCUGCAGCAGCUGAGAAAUGUCACCUCCCAGCACCUCGGGGUGCUGCUGGGCAUACACAGAAGUUUGUGGUGGGUUCGACAGACACCACUGACAACACGAACAGCUGCUGGAAGAGCUGCCAGCAAAGGUGGCUGAUGCCACAGAUCGGACACAGAUCACCAGGUAUUGCCAAAAGAACAAGAGCAAAGGAGAAUAUGAUCUUCAAUUUUAAUGGCAGUUUCCCUCCUGAGGGACUAGGGGAUAAAUCUGAAGGUGUAAGAUCAAUUUUAGGUCUAAAUAUGGAGCCCACUGGGGUGCCAGAGUGUGUAACCACUCUCUCUGAGAGCUCAUUUCGGACCACACCACAUGGGUCUGCCACCUGCCGUCUUCCAAAAUCCUUCCCAGCCUCUGAGCCCUCUACAAUCAAGUAAUGAAAAUUAUGCACCUUAAAGUACCAAUGUGCACAUUAAAAAUCAGCUGAUCAAAGUAGAAUCUAGGACAAAAAAUAAUGUUUCCCUUCUUAAAAAAAAAUUAUUCCGGGAAACCGUAUGGCUCAGGGGGUUGGUACUGGGAUACAGAGCCUUUCAUCGCUGGUCCAAACAUGACCCAAGUCAGUAGUGACCAAAAAAAUGGUUACCAUUUGGCAGAUGCUUUGUGGCCUAGAGUAUUUGAAAUGAGCUGAUGGUCUUAAUCCAGUUCCCAGUGGACGACUCUCCACAUCACAGAAACCACCACCACAAUUGGCACCCUCUUUGGCAGCCCUGGCAGGUUGGCCAAGGAUUAAAUAAGUACAGAGACUGAGCCACCCGCUUCUGCCUGGCUAGAGGUUGCCCCUCUAGGUCAUGGAUGAGACACAGGGAUGGGGUGGAGUGGGGAAGCUCACACACCCUCUGCCUGUGCUCUGCUGGUUUUGUGGGUAAGGAGAGGAAUUCAUUUUCCAGGGCUGUGAUUCAGGCACCCUUCGUAAGCGGCAUAUUCGUGUACAUGCAUUUAAUUUAAGAAGGAGACAGAAACUGAGAGAAUUCCAGGAUUUAUUCUCAAAAAAUCAGAUGCCAGAUUGAUUUCUGGGAAUUCAUCAAAAUCAGGGUAAUUGUGCCUGGGCUGCACUUAACAAAGUGCACACAAGCAACCUGUAGAGCAGCUCUGCUUCAAGAAACAUUCCUUUUGCUGUGCUAUGUUAUCAGUCAUCACUUUAAUUAUCUCACAAGAUGUCUUAGAGUGAACCUAAUCUGUGCCAGCUAUUGUCAGAAAGCUAAAGCUGAUUUCUGGUUAGGUAUACAAUGGCAACUACCACGUAAGCAAAGAUCUGAUACACAUCAAAAAGUCCUAUUUGGGCAAUAUGAAGAAAAGCAGGGCUUUUGUCAGUGCUGAAAGGGGUUUUCAUUUUUGGAGAGGUAGAAUACAUCGUUCCUUCUUUCUAAUAAACAGCAAUCCCCUAACAAAAUAUUGUGAGCUAAAUCCUGCAGUUAUUCAGGCAAUGUUAGGGUGGAGCCAAAGUUUAAAGUGGGACUUUGGGCAGCACCUGGGCUGGCUGUGAGAAGGGCAAGUGGCACAAGCUUUGCACGUGCUUGCCUGUGUGAAGGCACAGAGUGAUCCUGCCCCGCUUGCAGGUCCGGCAGGCAACGCUGGAAGAAUUUUCCUGCACACAGGCAGGAAAGGCUUCCCCAAAGUCACAGCAAGAUUUUGGCAGAACCUCAAGCCCCUUCUGGGCUGUUUCAUUUCGUGCCUCUUACAGCAGUGCAGCAAACAUGGCAAGCAAUGAGAGCUGUGCCCAAGGAAAGUCAUGGGGAACAAACUCUGCAAUUUACUCGAGGCCCCCCUUUCCUAUUCACCUCCAUGACAGCCAGGGCACCUCAUUGUCUGCUGGACCUUGUUGCACCAAGUCUUUCAUAAGAAGGGGUGAAUAUCUGACUGGCAUUUUUCACUAAUAGACUGAUUUAACACCACCUUCCACAUUGACAGCAAGGCUGCAGUGCAGGGCAGCCUGGGACAGCAAGGAAUCUUCAGCCUACAGAAAGAAACUGUCAUGUGAUCUCUCCUGCAGCAUAGCCCUCGUAUGUGUAAGUUUUUAAAACACUUCUUGCAAAAUAGAAAUCCCAUGAAGCAAAAGUGGCAAGCUGCUAAAAGGUUCCUCAUCUGUGACAGCCAAAAUGGAGCAUCUCAUCUAAGGGAGCGAUUUCAUUAUUUACACCUGAGUUAGUGCUCAGAUCAGUGGGUUUGCAGGAAGGGAAGGUCCAGAUUUGGCAAUAAGCAGAGAUCAAAGUGCUGAGAAGUAGGACUUCUUCCCUGUUGGCUGGAGGAACACCACUCAGCCGAGCCCACUGCCUGACCCUGGACAUCCACAUGCUCCUGCCAUGCCAACGCAUGUUAGAUGUGAAGAGCACCCUAAGAGAAGUACUUGACCCAAACUGAACAAAUUUCCUAAUUGCAGUAAGGCAACACUUGAGGGUGUGGUUACCACAGAAAUCACACCCAUGGACAGAUCAGGAGCACCUGGCUGCACCUCAUGCCUCCUAAUGUCCCAGGGGCACAAUUAUCUCAUCAGGUGCCACCUGCCAAGUCUUGUUGCUGGGGAAUUGGCUUCACGGCUGUGCAGCUGGGGUGGGGACAGCAGAGGAGCACCGAGGGCCAGGCACACAUUCUCCUCUCGGGUGCAUUCCUUCAAAGUGAGUAUUUACACCAGGAGGGUGCCCAGGUUCUGCUCAGAAGCAUGGCUGUGUUUGGGGGUUCCAAAGCAAGGAGCAAGCUGUUGUUGCUGAGUCCUGUCCAGCACCCCACCCCCUCUGCACAGCUUGCAUUCUGUGUUACUGCUUCGUGCACAUCCCUGAACUUGCUGCUCUCCAGCCACUCAGUGCAGCCUGCAAGAGUCCCAAACAGAUGGACGAGCCUGGAAAAUUGCUUGACUGGCAAUUUUCAGAAUGUUUUGCCCUUUUUCUCCAAAAAGAGGAUAAGGUCGAAGUGAGACAGAGGCUUUACAUCUUGCAAGGUGCUCUGCCCAUGAGAACAGCAGACUGACAUCCCAGUGCCCGGCACACAUUGGGCUGAGGUUGUGCUGUGCACGUCACCUCUGCAGGCAGGUCCUUCUCUCUUCCCUGCUCUCCUUCUUCCCCAGGUCAAGGGUGAAGCCUGACCUCCACACAGCAAUUAAUGGAUCAGGGCCCAGCAAGACAAGCCAGACCAAACCUCUGCCUCUGCCAGGGCAGUUGAGCUUCUCUGGAACAAGGAAGAUCAUAAAACCCCAGACAAAGCUCUGUGCCUAGAGGUAAGUUACUCUCGGUCGAAAGGAUCUGUCUGGGGAACAAACUUUCAGAGAUUAGCCUAAUCCAGAGCCUGAUGACCUUUAGGUCACAGUGCAAGAACUUCCUCUUUGAUACAUCUUUUACACCAUAACCAGAGUGACAUUUACAACAAUAACCUGACCCCAUCCCUCCCCUCAGAAGCACCUAUGCUGGGCAGAGCUCCCCAGAGACAGAGAAAGCAGAGGAACAAAAGACUCCAGGAAGCCUACUAGGGAUGUGCCAAUCUAAUUAUUAUGGGCAGUGCUCAGAUACUGUGAUAAGAGGUGCCCAUAAAAAAAACCAAACAAAAACAACCAAAAACUGUAAAGCUGGUUGAUGUACCCUUUAGGCCAUGGGAGUGGAGAAAAAGGAAUUUACUGUGAAUCAGAUGACACCAUAUUUAUUUGCACUCCCACCCUCAGCCUUCUUGAUAGCGUCAAAGUCCACUGGGUUUGACGCUAUCCUGACAAAUUUAGCAGUAGUCCAGAGCAGCAGGGAAGAGAUUUAAGCCCCAUCCUUUGCUCCUUGCUCACUGUGCUGUACAGCAGUGCUCUUCUCCAACCAGCAAAAUCCUCCUCUUCCUUAAGGCUCAGCACAACAGGUCUGAUUCAGGAAUGUUCCCCUUCCUCUUCAUUCCCCUUGAAUUUCUCACCCUGAGUCAUCCGACUACAAUGUAACUUUAAUGUGGAAAGUUUUGUGGGUAGGUUUUGUUUUCUUUUAGCUUCAGAAAAGAAAAGGUACAACCAGAGGGGGGAAAAAAAGUGUCUCAUGGUUGAGAGGACUCUUUUAACCAAGGAGUCACAUGGCUCCCUGGCGAGCAGCCAGAGGAGUCAUGAGAGAUGUGGCCGUUCCCUUAACCAUGUCCUGCCUGCCGGCAGCCCCUGGCACCCCGGGCCGGCUCUGGUGCCCAGCCUGGCUCCCGCGGGGAGGCUCCUGCGGCAGGAGAGGGCUCUGUCGGAAGUGACCUCGGGACGUGGCUCAGCAGCACUUUCCCCGAGCUGUCCCCGAGGCCACGCUGGACGUGGUGCUGAAGCAGGGGAUGGCAAAGCCACGUCUCAGGUGUGACACAAUCACACCGUCUCUGCUGCCCGUGGUCACAAAGAGUCCCUGAAAGCGAUGAUGUGGCACUUACACCACGUUUUCUCUUUCCAAAGUGCUGUGGCAGCUUUUGCUCUCCUGCCCCUCCCCUCCCUUCAAGCCUUGCCAGCGCUGUUAUUGCCCCAUUAAAGCUGUGGGAAACCGAGGCAGGCAGCACUCAUGAUGCUGCUGUUCAGCAUCGUGGGCAUUGGGCCAGUCUCGGACCUUUCCUGUGCUCAGCACAGAGCAAAACCCACCACGGAAUAGUGCAAUCCUUAGAGGGGCUGGCGCUGGCCAGGGUCCAGAUCAACUAGAGGUGUGCUUGGGCUUUUUGAGAUGCUUUCCUGCCUUGCUGCCGGGGAUGUCGGGGCUGGUGCUGGUCCUGCAUGUCCACACAGCUCUGCUGGGCACGGGGCACCACAGAGCAGCUGCUGCAUUCCCCCAGCACUGAGGGAAACCAUCCUUGCCCAAUUCACUUCAAUACUGGUAGGAUUCAUUCACUUAUGAUCCUUGCAUGAAAGAAACUAUUAUUAAAUGGUAGUCACAUUUCAUAAUUAUGUCUCACUUCAGCCAGAUUAGGAGGGUGGAUAUGAUAUCCAGUCCCAAUACUGCAGCACUUGAGAAUUUUAAAUUAAAUACAUCUCCCUGUGUUUUCCAGGCCCUGCUUGAAGGCAGACAGAUCUUUCUGGCUCAUGCUCAGUUCCAGCUUUGAAAGCUGGGUUGCCCUGCAAUGCCUUGCAUGUAACACCAAAUGCUGCAGGGCUUUUGAAGUGCUUCUCUCCUUAAAAAAAUACAUAAUGUUUUGGCUUUAUGUCUGCUCUUGCUGGUUCCACAGGCCAUGAUUCUUUCAAUGGCCAAAGAACCGAUUUUGGGUUGUGUCUGACAUAGCCUCCUGUAAAUAUUGCUUUUGCUGUGUGUUCUUGAGAACUAUGGCCACAUUCCCUAUAAAUUGCAUAAAAUGGCAGCCUGUGCCAAGGCUGUAUUCAAAUGGAUACUGGAAGAACGAGGCUUGUGCUGACUUUCUGUUUGAUUCUCCUCCUGCUUGCACCAGAAUCACUCCAGAGCUGCUCCUGCUUUAUCAGCUUGCUGAGCUGCGGAUGUGACCCCAGGGGAGAGAAGCCUCAGGCCCUCAGUACUGAAAAGACAAGGUAUAAGAGCUUCCCAAAGUGCUGCACAGAUCUGAGUAGUGGCAUCCAGGAGGACAUGAUUUUGAAUGCCUUUGUUGUGCAUUCCAAGUCCAUGCUGGGGGAAGGAUGCAACUCACCAGCGCUGCCCUCACACCACCCACCUGCCAGGAGAGCCCACCGAGUCCCACCAGCUGGGAGAGUGCUGCCACUGACGAGCAACGGGGUGUCUCUGCUUCAGAGAAAGCAUUUGGGACACGCAGAGACCAGUGGACUUGGUGCCACCACACAGAGGAGAAUUCUUCUGCCGCAUGUCAAACACCUGAGCCUGGAUUUGCCCUCAUUUGCACACCUGCUAUACCACUGGAUGUCCUUUUUUUAACUUUUUAGGAACUUGGGGGGAAAUCUGACCUUGGACAAAGAGCUGGAACAAGACUACAUCACCGUGAUGAUUAAGUGGGAUUUUUGCAUAAAUAUGAAUUUUAUCCUUUGUUGAGGGAAAUCUGAUCCACAAGCACAGGCUGGAAAGAAAAUAAAUGUUCAGAACUGUGACUGCAGCAUGGGUAUAAACUGUAUGCACUAUUAAAAUCAUUUCCAGAAAAAAAAAAUACAGUAACUCUCUGAUUUAGCCUGUCUUGAAAUUUUCUAAAGAUAUGAUUUGCUGUAAAAUAAUUAAUAGGUGAUAAUCAUCUUGCUGUCAUAUCCUAGUAGAAUAAAGAUGUUUUUAUGAUGAGAGCAACUAUUUGGCCUCAUCUACCUUAACUUCAGAAAAGCUGCCUGUACUCCCUUAGGACUGAACAAGGCAGUUAACUUUCAGCUCCAUUGUACUAUCCAGAAGUGACUUUUAGAAAGAAAAGAAGACAUGGAGGAGGCAACUUUUUCGUAAAAGGUUCCAUUAUCAUGCAUGUUAUCAUGCAUAUUAGCAUGUUAUCUAAUGAUUUGUCCUAACAUCAUUUAGGCAGUAACAGGAGGAAAAAAUUAUAGAAGUGCAUUGCAUAUGGACAGAAAAACCUACUGAGAAAAUAUUUAAUGUCUGCAUCUAUAAUUUCUUCACAUUUUCUCUAGCUGAAGUAUUUGCAAUGUUCCUCGGGCAUGUGUUGCAGCAAAAGCAAAUGCAUAGGAGUUGUCUUGGCAAGAAGUGGAGAGCAAGUCCUGUGUAGCUCUCACAAUGGAGAGAAAAGAUAUCCUUUUACCUUUGGAGGAGGAUUGAAGGGAGAGUAAAAGAGAAGGAAAGGGUGCUAAUAACCCUUAAAAGACUGAAAGACAUUGCCCAGGAACCUGCCUUCCCUGGAGUCUCUUCCAGAGCACGCCUAUGCCUACCCUCCUGGACUUCCUUAGCCUCCCAAUAAUUCUGGACCUGUAAGCCUGGAGCUUUCAGCGACGAGUUUGUUCAGCUCAUGGACAGGGGAUUCACACGUGCAUGGCACAGUCCCAGAACACAGGAGUCAUGGAGGGUUCUCAUGGAGAGAGGCCUGGCUGGUUCUCAUACAGCCCUUCCACUCAGAGCACUUCUGCUGCACUCUGUCAGUUCUGUGCCUGGGGCAGGCUGGGGUGAUGCUCUACAGGAGGGCAGUGCAGCAUCAAGGAGGAAAGAGCAAAUAGAAUGAGAAGAACCAAGCAGACAGGUGAACCUGGAGUUGCAAAGGGCCCUCUGUCAGGCAGUUAGCAGCUGCAGGGGCUUUGCCAGCAGGCAUGAAAGGCACUGGUAAGAGUCCACUGAGGGUAAAACAAUGUACAGAGGUUCUGGGCUGAAGAAAUUGGGCUUGCAACAACAACCAGUUCUGUAACACAUGGUGUCAGCACGUCUCCAGAGCUCCUUUGAUCUAUAGCUGGUCCCAGCUUUCUGUUGCUUGUGGUUACUUGGGAGGACUAGAGGGUUAAAGAGGCUCUCUGACAGCGUUUCAGCCCAAAUGACACAGUCCCUGCACUGAGAACACACGUUCCACCUGCAGCAGGACACAGUGCCAGGUACACCCAGGGCACUGCACCACUGCAUGAGAGGUGCCUGUCAGUACAACUGUGUAAUUGCAAUCACGUUGUUUAGCACUUUAACACCUCCUUUGAAAUGUUGUCUUCUGAGGGAUUAGCCUUGUUGGGCGUUUAAUAUGCAAAUAUACCUGCAUUUAAUCUCACCUACUCAUCUAAAUAUUUCAUGUUGCUUUAUACCCACUAUUGUGUUGGUAAUGCAACAUAUGUAAUAAUUCCAUGCUGUCAUCCUACAAUUUCUGGAUGCUGCCACCUUUCCUUAUCAUUACUUAAGUCAUUGUUUUUUUCAAUUUCAAGGUGUGCUAAACAUCUAAUUCCCAGAACUAAUCGCCACGAAGGAUUGAGAGAGUUUCCUUCAUCCAAAUGCAUUUGGAUUCAAGGAUGUUCAGAACUCAAGUGCUUGAUGGAGACCUUGGCAUGGAGAAGAGUAGCCAGUCACAGAUUUACCAGAGCUCUGUGGUUUUAGACAGAGAAUUUUAUUCUGGGUGUCUCAGUGAAAUGAUGGACUUUAUCUUCUAGAGCUACCAAGAAAUCAUCUCACAGUCACUCUCCCAUCUUUCUGUAGCUCCUUUGAUACAGGGAAAUAGCCUGUACCAGACAGGCAUGCCAAGCUCACAGUGCUUAUGGCAGCCCAGAGUGAAAAUACCCUUUAUCUUUCUCAUUUCUGCUCAUUUCUCAUUUUAGCUAAUGCUAAAGCUAGCUUUAGGUGAUCCAGAAGACAGUUGAUACCCUCUGGAGAUUCAUCUGUUCUGUCUAUAAGCCAACACAUCUCUGAGGGAUGGUGAAGUGGAAUUCCAAAUCCUCUUAUAGAGGGCUAUUAUUACAGUACCAUGUAAAAGAACAACCUGAGGAUCUCAACUCUCCUCAGGCAUAAGACACUGCACAAAUAGGGGCUAAGGGAGCAAGCUUGCCCUAAAGUCUCAGUUAUGAACAAGGUGCAAAAGCAGGGAAAUGAUGGAUUUACCCCACAGCCCAGUGACUGAGCCAGAGACAAUCCUGUUCCCAUAACAGCCUUAAUCACAGAGGUUGAUCCUGCCCUGAUCUGACCAGGAUGGGAAGAGGGGGCAUCCCGACUGUCCCAGCUGGCAGGGAGGCAUUGCUGGCAUCACUGGUGAGGCUGUGCCCCUGUCCCCUCACAGGCUGUGCCCCCCAGGGCACGUGGGCUGCCCUCUGCCUGCACUGCUCCCUCCCUCCCUGCACACAAACUCCAGGGACUCUGUCCAGCAGUCCUUUAGGGAAUCUUUAGGGCAAUCUUUAGGCAUGAGCAGUUUCCUGCAGGCAUAGGAAAAAUAUACAUUCCUUCUAACCCACCUCCCACAAGCGUGGAGAAGCCAUGUUGUAAAGGGUAUGGAAUUGUAAGGACGUGGGAGCACCGGCAGAACAGAUGCAAGAUGUGCAGAGGAUUUUUAUCCCCCUACAUUUCCUAACCAGGCAGUAAUAUCUACUCACCAAUAUAAAUUAUUUGUUGUAUUAUAGUGUUAGUAUAGGGAUCCACUUUGAAGAUUUGUGCUGCUAGUCCUACAUACACACGCUCUCUUAGGAGUUAUUCCCAAUCACUCUAUAGCAAAUAACUGAAUUAGCUGUCUAUGUACCAGCAGAUAAUCCCCCAAAUAAGCCUCUUAAGAACCGAUUGUCAUGUUGCUGGUGAGUGCAUCCAGCCCCAGAGAACAUGAACAGCGAAAGGGGUACACAAAUGGAAAAUGGACAAGCACCAUUGCAUUUAGAAGCAGCCAAAUAUGUGUGUGUGUACAGAAGAAGAAAUGGUGUCACUAUUUGCAAGAAAUGGUGUCACUAUUACAUAUAAUCCUCGGGUUUAGACAUUUAUACUAACUGCAUUGAUAUUAUUAAAUGGCAGAUCUAUACUUUAAAUAUUUAAUUGGAUUACCAAAAUAUGUCCAGUGCAUUAAAAGGCAUCAAUCAUCCCACUACCAGCUGUUCGAGCCAAAGUGAGUUUCCUUUUUCCCAAAGUCAGGCACUAAUUGCUUCUGCUUGUAAAAGUGUUUACAGUGCCCCAGCGGGCCAGAGGUUAGCAGGCGAGCACCCCGAAGAAGAUGACUUUAUCAGAUAGUACAUUUACAAUAUAGAAACCGAUUUUAUAAAGGAGAUGGUUCUUUAAAAUAAUUUUGGAUGUAGUCUACAGCAACUUAACUUUCUUCCCAGCUAUUGCACACAAAGCACUGAGGCCCCGAUGCCUUCUGCAUUUCAGCAUUGCUUUUUCCAUUCUUAUAAUCCCAUUUCAUCACGAUGGGAUUUUUGCUCUACAGGUUUUGUGGUGGAAUAACCGGGCGCGACUGAGCACGGACACCCCGCACUCCAUUUGCUCGCCCGCUGCAUCUCAGAGUAUUUACGUCUUUAUUCCUGAAGGAGCGGCAAUGCAGAAGCCAAGGAGUCACUCCCAUAGCCGAAAGAUGAUAGAGAUCUCGGGGGAAAAUUAACAUAACCAUUGACAGUCCCUGAGAGCUCACUAAACAGCAGCUUGGGAGGCAUCCUCCCCUCCGGAGGGUGAGGGCAGCAGGAACAGACACCGGCAGAUAAUGCUCGAACGGGCUCCACUAUGCUUUAAUCUUCAAAAGCUACCAUUAGUAAGCCAGAGAAGUAUAUUUACCCACCAGAUAAACACCACAAAUGCGCUAGGCUGCUCUCCACUGAGCACUGAAAUAACUCCUCUUCCCUUUCGCUUCCCAAGGGGAGCGAGG
Molecule: long non-coding RNA, 16605 nt
Organism: Pseudopipra pipra
Lineage: Eukaryota; Metazoa; Chordata; Aves; Passeriformes; Pipridae
Exons: 11
Source: RefSeq, a predicted model, not a curated record